UUGUUUGAGAACCCAGAUGGUGGCAUUUUCUCUUGCUCAGCCCUUUGUGUGGCUGGUGCCUCCCCUUCCACAUGUCCCUUCCCUCAGGUCCUUGCUUCCUUCAACUUGCUCCUCACAACUCCCCCUUCAGGCCAGUCUUCCAUGAUCUUCCUGAUCAGCGACAUGAUUCUGAACUGCUGUUUGACAUCUUCCCAAAGGAUAUGUGACUGAUGUCCUUGCACCUGUCAGGGUCUGGAUCCCCACUUGAUGUUCCAGACUCCUGCCCAUCAGCCCCAUCCUGGCCUGGGUGUUUCCCAAGAGCCCUUGAGGAGGCUCAGCAGAUGUGCCUGGUGGUCACAGGCCCUUUGGGGGUCUGGGCCUUGUCAUGCAGCUGUCUUCUUUCACCUUAGGCCCCUGGAUGGGAACACCUGCCUCUCCCAGGUGCACAGCUGGGCUCCGCUGCAGGUGCUCCACGGCGAUGCUGAUGUCCUCUUCCCGGU
RNAcentral lists this long non-coding RNA (479 nucleotides) under Marmota monax (woodchuck). Lineage: Eukaryota; Metazoa; Chordata; Mammalia; Rodentia; Sciuridae. The record is from RNAcentral.